This 282-nucleotide long non-coding RNA is filed under the name Elaeis guineensis (African oil palm). Its description in RNAcentral is "long non-coding RNA (EGUI_LNC056724)". Lineage: Eukaryota; Viridiplantae; Streptophyta; Magnoliopsida; Arecales; Arecaceae. The record is from RNAcentral.
CGGCCAUUUGUAUCUUCGAAUAUAUACACAACUUCAAAUCUGUAUUAAGGAAUGCACGCAAAAUAUCUAAAACUUUGUACUAUGGUCCAACUUGAGGUUUUCAGCACUUUUAUUCUUUGCGGAUAACAAUUACAAAGGUCACAUACUAACGGAAUCAAAGAGACACUUUCACAAGGAGGAAGCUGACAUAAUGUUCAGCCACAACUAAAGUACAUACAUAUACAGACACACAUACGUACGGACACAAACACAUACAUAUAUAAUCAUAACCAAUCCUCGCUC